GGUGGGUCCAGUGAGAUCCUAUAAAACCAGAAAGAUGUGCUGCUUUCAUAACCAAGGGGAAAGGUGGUAAGGCAGCAUUACUCUCGCACAACGCUAUAAUUUGUCCUAGUCACACAGGAACAUAGAAACAGGAACUACUAGGUCCGUUCUACUAGAUACAGGAUUUCUCUAACCUUACAAAUCUUGACAGAUCUACACUCCAAACAUGAACAACAACGCUUCUCAGCCUGGUGAGUAGCAUAGGCUAUACACUGUAGGGACAAGACAGACAUUAGAACUAAUUUUAAGUAUUUGAUUUAAGCCAUUGUGUGUCUUAGGUCCUCCCCAAAAUUGACAUUUUCAUGUUUUGUUAUUUAUGUUACAAAUCAUUGCCGUUUGGGGUUUCUUUUCUAGACACCAUAAAAUUGCGCUCUCUUUUCAAGAGCAGAGUGAAUCCGGAAAAAAAGCAAUUAGGAGAAUUGUCCACAUCAACAUGAGACCUUUCAAAACUAACCAUAGUGUGCUUGUGAAAUUCUCUACCAGGGCAGAAUGGAGUUGGGAAGAGUGCAGCAGGAGGCAUCACCUGUCUCGCUGAGAAGCCACUGGAACCUAUCGGUCCCUUUUCGGGUGUCGGCUCUACUGUUGGCGCGAUCGCAGGACGAACAGUUGGAGGAGUAUUGGGAGGAAUAGUAGGAGGAGCUGUGGGAUCUGCAGUUGAUUCUGCAUACCGCCAAUCUUACUAUGAGAAAAAUAAAUGUCCAGAAUGAAUGAAUCAGUUGUUAAACUAUCAUACCAGAUAACCUUUAUAUGGCUUCUACCUUGAUUUGUUAUUGCAUAAAUACUAUGUAUUAUAAAUGUUUCUGUAAUUCUUUGUAUUGGUUCAAUCUAACUGAAGUGUCUGUAUGCUGAGAGACAGUGAGUCCAUGCCUUUACAAACAUUGAGUGUAUGACUUUUGGCUCUUUGCCACCUGGAACACAAUGGUUUCAGUUUUACAUCCUCCUCAUAACUCACAUUUAACUAUGUUUUAAUGAAAUCUGAACAUAUCAGUUCAUGCCUUAAGGAUAGAAUCCUUAAUCGAAACAAUAACAAAGCCGUCACCCCUCUGUUUAGGUAAAGAGCUGGGAAACGGGCCUGAAGAAAGAUAACCAUUCUCAGAUUCAUAGAUCUAUGCCUACAAGGACUGACCAUCCAUGAUAUCAACAUUAUAGUUUUAACCAUGUUUUGAGGCUAUGCAGUGUUUGUUUAUGUUCACAUUGUUUACAAACAUUGGAGUAAUGUUAUAAUUAUACACAUAGGAUGUUAUUCUUUUUCUCUUUCUCUCUUGUUUUAGAUAAUGGGUGUUGGGUUGUAAGAUACAAGAAAGAAACAAAACAUACUGUAUCAUUAAAUAAUGGACCAAUAUUGGCUGGUUUUGUGACUAGAGAAGCAGUGUGACUACUAUUGGUGGGUGUUUUGUUAUUUUACUAAAAGCAGAGCAUAUGAGAUCAUACUGGAGAUAUGCAUUUAGUUGGUUACGAAUGAAAACACUGUCACUCUGUGGUAGGAACCUGAUACAACAAUACCAGGGUCAGACAAUCAAAUAGCAAUGUAGAUAGUUUUACAGGAGUUCUGAUGAUGGAGAGAACUCAACGUUUGACUGCUUUAGGUUUGAUUUAUAUCUAAACCACACUGAAACAGACUUUCAUCUCUAAGCAGGACUUCCAUAUUUACAUAUUUUAAGCUUGCUGUAUUGUAGACUGUACAAUGUAAAGUGUCAUUAAAGCUGACCAAAUAAUAUGAAUAUACCUGCAUUUAGUUUCAUAUUUUUCAUACCAUACUUCACAAAUAUGAUUAUUAUAUGAAUAAACCUGUAUUUAUUUUGCGUCUGAAUACUGUACCUGACCUGUAAUCCCCCAACUAAAAGAACUACAAAC
RNAcentral lists this long non-coding RNA (1893 nucleotides) under Salmo salar (Atlantic salmon). RNAcentral's name for it is "lncRNA (ENSSSAG00000085042.1)". Lineage: Eukaryota; Metazoa; Chordata; Actinopteri; Salmoniformes; Salmonidae. The record is from RNAcentral.